RNAcentral lists this ribosomal RNA (173 nucleotides) under uncultured bacterium. Its description in RNAcentral is "partial 16S ribosomal RNA". It matches the Rfam family "Bacterial small subunit ribosomal RNA", at positions 335 to 525 of the family's 1533-position model. The record is from RNAcentral.
ACUCCUACGGGAGGCAGCAGUGGGGAAUAUUGGACAAUGGGCGAAAGCCUGAUCCAGCAAUGCCGCGUGAGUGAUGAAGGCCUUAGGGUUGUAAAGCUCUUUUACCCGGGAUGAUAAUGACAGUACCGGGAGAAUAAGCCCCGGCUAACUCCGUGCCAGCAGCCGCGGUAAUA